CUUCCGCCCCGCCCAAAUUGUGAUUAAACUUAGCUCUUCUUUAAUGUUCUGAGCUUUUAUGAGUACAUACGUACAGCUCAGGUCAAUAGCUAGGACUUGGGUUAAUGCAACUAAAAUUGUGAUGUUUUUUAUUUGAGCAUUUCUCUACGAAAGACACGUAAUUUGAUGUCAUGUUGACAGAUGAAGCUGUCACUGUGAAGUUUGUCUGUGGUAACAUGGAACAGAAAUACAAGUAGACCAAGGCCCUGAAGAACAAAGCCAGGCAUGAACUCAUUAAGGAUGAGCUGACAUGGAUACCCAAGAAAUUCAGCUUGGAUCACUACUGUCUGAGGACAGAGAAUGGAGAUGUGCUAGAUAUUCACCUUCAGCCUGAGACCAGCCCUCUACAGCUGAUGGUGACCCGGGGUGGCCCCUGGUGGGCUGAUGACAUGGGGCUGUACUUCCACUCUAGCCCAAAACCAAAAUCCAAAUAAUUAGGUGAUACAAAUAAACAACAGUUUUGGGAAGAAAAUGCAGACAAUAAUGUGUAAUUGUUAAAAUAUAAUUUCAAAAUAAUUGUUAAGUUUAACUUUAUUGUUAAUCUUUUCUGCCUGUUUUUGCUUUUGUUUUGAAUUAUUGUAGUGACUAUUAUCAAUGUGUAUAUUUCUGUUGCUCAGUAAGUACAAUGGUAUUUAAAAUAAAACCCUACUGGUACAAAUGUACAACUGGCCUGUAUAAUUCUUCACUUGGAAGGACAGUUUUUCAUGUGAACUGAAGCGGUCUUUCGCCAUGUCUGUUAAUUUGUUCUAGAAAAUGCUUACUGGAAACCCUUCUUUAAAAAAUAUUUUGUUUGUGAAGUGAGUUAUCUUUUGCAUGAUGUUGUUGAAUAUAAAAUGUAUAACAUUUCGCAGUAUUUUUCUUAUUUGUUGCAUUUAAAAUUAUGAUAUAUGUAUCAAUGAAAUUUGUGAAGAUUUGUUUUAAUUAAAUUAUACCAUAUGCCUCAUUCGUUUUCAUUCUAAUAGAAUACAACCAGUUUUCCUUAGCUUAGUUUUGUGUAAUAAAUGCAAAUGUAGAAUGAUAAUGUAUAUGUAAAUGCUAAUAUAGUGGA
Molecule: long non-coding RNA, 1087 nt
Organism: Dreissena polymorpha
Lineage: Eukaryota; Metazoa; Mollusca; Bivalvia; Myida; Dreissenidae
Exons: 3
Source: RefSeq, a predicted model, not a curated record